AUGGCUGUCGUCAGCUCGUGCCGUGAGGUGUUGCCUUAAGUGGCGCAACGAGCGCAACCCCUGUCCUUAGUUGCCAGCGGAUCAUGCCGGGAACUCUAGGGAGACUGCCGGUGCCAAACCGGAGGAAGGUGGGGAUGACGUCAAGUCAGCAUGCCCCUUAUAUCCAGGGCUGCACGCAUGCUACAAUGCGCGAUACAGAGGGCUGCGAUCCCGUAAGGGGGAGCGAAUCCCAAAAAGUCGCGCUCAGUUCGGAUCGAGGUCUGCAACUCGACCUCGUGAAGUCGGAGUCGCUAGUAAUCGCAGAUCAGCAAUGCUGCGGUGAAUACGUUCCCGGGCCUUGUACACACCGCCCGUCACACCACGAAAGUGGGCAACACCCGAAGCCGGUGGCCUAACCCUUGUGGAGGGAGCCGUCGAAGGUGGGGCUCGCGAUUGGGGUGAAGUCGUAACAAGGUAGCCGUACCGGAAGGUGCGGCUGGAUCACCUCCUUUCUAAGGAGCCGUUGGCAGCCCGGUGGGACUCAGGACGCGCAAGCGAUUCGUCCCUGCACUCCGGGAGACUCCAGGUCAAUGCACUGGCCCCCGCUGUCGUUCGACGGCAAACCAUCCGCUUAGUACCCCGCAAGGGCGAACGAGGAUCGGUGCGCUGCACGCCGGCGGGCACACUGUUCAGCUUUGAGGGUGCGAACCCUCGGGCACCUUGAGAACUCGAUAGCGAGCGCGAGCAUCUAUUAGUCAAGUUAUGAAGGGCUUACGGUGGAUGCCUAGGCGCCAGGAGCCGAUGAAGGACGCGUCAGGCUGCGAAAAGCUUCGGGGAGCCGCCGAGAGGGCUUUGAUCCGAAGGUGUCCGAAUGGGGAAACCCGG
RNAcentral lists this small RNA (864 nucleotides) under uncultured Actinomycetales bacterium. RNAcentral describes it as "bacterial SSU rRNA". The stretch from base 1 to 491 matches the Rfam family "Bacterial small subunit ribosomal RNA", at positions 1045 to 1533 of the family's 1533-position model. The record is from RNAcentral. Lineage: Bacteria; Bacillati; Actinomycetota; Actinomycetes; Actinomycetales.